CAUAUACUCCCUCCGUCCCAAAAUUCUUGUCUUAGAUGUAUCUAACACUAAAACGUAACUAGAUGCAUCCGCAUUUAGACAAAUAUAAGACACGAAUUUUGGGACGGAGGUAAUAUAUU
Molecule: non-coding RNA, 119 nt
Organism: Triticum urartu
Lineage: Eukaryota; Viridiplantae; Streptophyta; Magnoliopsida; Poales; Poaceae
Source: Rfam